Molecule: transfer RNA, 73 nt
Filed under: Camelus bactrianus (Bactrian camel)
Lineage: Eukaryota; Metazoa; Chordata; Mammalia; Artiodactyla; Camelidae
Also listed under: 2 other names
Rfam family: tRNA
About the family: Transfer RNA (tRNA) molecules are approximately 80 nucleotides in length. Their secondary structure includes four short double-helical elements and three loops (D, anti-codon, and T loops).
Source: Rfam by way of RNAcentral
GAGGGUACAGCUCAGUGGUAGAGCACAUGCUUAGCAUGCAGCAAGGUCCUGGGUUCAGUCCCCAGUGCCUCCA